AUGGACGACGCCUUCAAAUUCAUCAUUAAGAACGGCGGCCUCACCACCGAGUCCAACUACCCAUACACGGCACGGGAUGGGCAGUGCAAGACCAGCAUUGCAAGCAACAGUGUGGCAACCAUCAAGGGCUACGAAGAUGUCCCCGCCAACGAUGAAUCUUCUCUUAUGAAAGCAAUCGCUAACCAACCUGUAUCAGUAGCUGUGGACGGAGGGGAUGUCAUAUUUCAACAUUACUCUGGCGGGGUGAUGACCGGCUCCUGCGGAACUGAUUUGGACCAUGGGAUAGCGGCGAUUGGGUAUGGCAUGACGAGUGAUGGAACUAAGUAUUGGCAACUGAAGAACUCAUGGGGCACCACAUGGGGUGAGAAUGGUUACCUCAGAAUGGAGAAGGAUAUUUCAAACAAGAGUGGUAUGUGUGGCUUGGCCAUGCAACCUUCCUACCCCACCGAGUAG
Molecule: ribosomal RNA, 453 nt
Filed under: Triticum aestivum (bread wheat)
Lineage: Eukaryota; Viridiplantae; Streptophyta; Magnoliopsida; Poales; Poaceae
Description: partial small subunit ribosomal RNA
Source: RNAcentral